This 253-nucleotide ribosomal RNA is filed under the name uncultured bacterium. Its description in RNAcentral is "partial 16S ribosomal RNA". It matches the Rfam family "Bacterial small subunit ribosomal RNA", at positions 524 to 776 of the family's 1533-position model. The record is from RNAcentral.
UACGUAGGGUGCAAGCGUUGUCCGGAAUUAUUGGGCGUAAAGAGCUCGUAGGCGGCUUGUCGCGUCGGCUGUGAAAACCUGGGGCUCAACCCCGGGCCUGCAGCCGAUACGGGCAAGCUAGAAUUCGGUAGGGGAGACUGGAAUUCCUGGUGUAGCGGUGAAAUGCGCAGAUAUCAGGAGGAACACCGGUGGCGAAGGCGGGUCUCUGGGCCGAUAUUGACGCUGAGACGCGAAAGCGUGGGGAGCGAACAGG